RNAcentral lists this ribosomal RNA (500 nucleotides) under uncultured bacterium. RNAcentral describes it as "partial 16S ribosomal RNA". It matches the Rfam family "Bacterial small subunit ribosomal RNA", at positions 30 to 523 of the family's 1533-position model. The record is from RNAcentral.
AUUGAACGCUGGCGGAAUGCUUUACACAUGCAAGUCGAACGGCAGCACGGACUUCGGUCUGGUGGCGAGUGGCGAGCGGGUGAGUAAUGUAUCGGAACGUGCCCAGUCGUGGGGGAUAACGUAGUGAAAAUUACGCUAAUACCGCAUACGAUCUAUGGAUGAAAGCGGGGGAUCGCAAGACCUCGCGCGAUUGUAGCGGCCGAUAUCAGAUUAGGUAGUUGGUGGGGUAAAGGCCCACCAAGCCAACGAUCUGUAGCUGGUCUGAGAGGACGACCAGCCACACUGGAACUGAGACACGGUCCAGACUCCUACGGGAGGCAGCAGUGGGGAAUUUUGGACAAUGGGCGAAAGCCUGAUCCAGCCACUCCGCGUGCAGGAUGAAGGCCCUCGGGUUGUAAACUGCUUUUGUACAGAACGAAAAGGUUUCUACUAAUACUAGGAGCUCAUGACGGUACUGUAAGAAUAAGCACCGGCUAACUACGUGCCAGCAGCCGCCGUAA